CCCUUUUUCAAACCCAGGGAAGAGACCCUGGUAGUCCACGCCCUCAACGAUGAGAACUAGCUGUUGGGAAGUCCACUUCUUAGUAGCGAAGCUAACGCGUUAAGUUCUCCGCCUGGGGAGUACGGCCGCAAGGUUAAAACUCAAAGAAAUUGACGGGGGCCCGCACAAGCGGUGGAGCAUGUGGUUUAAUUCGAUGCAACGCGAAAAACCUUACCUACCCUUGACAUCCUCGGAACUUGUCAGAGAUGACUUGGUGCCUUCGGGAACCGAGUGACAGGUGCUGCAUGGCUGUCGUCAGCUCGUGUCGUGAGAUGUUGGGUUAAGUCCCGUAACGAGCGCAACCCUCGUCCUUAGUUGCCAGCGAGUCAUGUCGGGAACUCUAAGGAGACUGCCGGUGAUAAACCGGAGGAAGGUGGGGAUGAUGUCAAGUCAUCAUGGCCCUUAUGGGUAGGGCUACACACGUGCUACAAUGGGCAGUACAAAGGGUUGCCAAGCCGCAAGGUGGAGCUAAUCCCAGAAAACUGCUCUUAGUCCGGAUUGGAGUCUGCAACUCGACUCCAUGAAGUUGGAAUCUUAGUAAAUUCGAAA
RNAcentral lists this ribosomal RNA (588 nucleotides) under Coxiella endosymbiont of Argas persicus. Its description in RNAcentral is "bacterial SSU rRNA". It matches the Rfam family "Bacterial small subunit ribosomal RNA", at positions 755 to 1349 of the family's 1533-position model. The record is from RNAcentral. Lineage: Bacteria; Pseudomonadati; Pseudomonadota; Gammaproteobacteria; Legionellales; Coxiellaceae.